Molecule: ribosomal RNA, 522 nt
Filed under: uncultured Glomeraceae
Lineage: Eukaryota; Fungi; Glomeromycota; Glomeromycetes; Glomerales; Glomeraceae
Description: SSU rRNA
Rfam family: Eukaryotic small subunit ribosomal RNA
Source: RNAcentral
AGCAGCCGCGGUAAUUCCAGCUCCAAUAGCGUAUAUUAAAGUUGUUGCAGUUAAAAAGCUCGUAGUUGAAUUUCGGGAUCAAUUUGCUGGUCGUGCCUCUGGUACGUACUGGUAUUAUUGGUUUCUCCCUUCUGACGAGCCAUGAUGUCAUUAAUUUGAUGUCGUGGAGAAUCAGGACUGUUACUUUGAAAAAAUUAGAGUGUUUAAAGCAGGCAUUAGCUUGAAUACAUUAGCAUGGAAUAAUGAAAUAGGACGUUUGAUCCUAUUUUGUUGGUUUCUAGGAUUGACGUAAUGAUUAAUAGGGAUAGUUGGGGGCAUUAGUAUUCAAUUGUCAGAGGUGAAAUUCUUGGAUUUAUUGAAGACUAACUACUGCGAAAGCAUUUGCCAAGGAUGUUUUCAUUAAUCAAGAACGAAAGUUAGGGGAUCGAAGACGAUCAGAUACCGUCGUAGUCUUAACCAUAAACUAUGCCGACUAGGGAUCGGAUGAUGUUAAUUUUUUAAUGACUCAUUCGGCGCCUUACG